GGGACUGCAAGUUAUUUCACUGCCAACAUACUUUAGACAUCAGCAAAACAUUCUUUUCCCAUCAAUAUUUAUAUUUUGGAGAAAGUACCAACAGAAACUGCUGAAAAAAACUAAAGAAUGUGGAUCAGUUGUUCUGGCAGGUGAUGUUCAUCAUGACAGUAUGGGGCAUUGUGCCAAGUACUGUGCCUAUACCGUCUUUUGUUGUUCCACGUCAUCCAUUAUUCACUUUUCCUUUGUUCAGGUUCGUAACUUAAAGUGGCUUGGAUUU
This is a long non-coding RNA of Xenia sp. Carnegie-2017, 268 nucleotides long. RefSeq lists it as uncharacterized. The record is from RefSeq and is a predicted model, not a curated record. The transcript is spliced from 3 exons. NCBI's taxonomy places the organism in Eukaryota, Metazoa, Cnidaria, Anthozoa, Malacalcyonacea, Xeniidae.